AUAACUCUAUUUAUAUGUAGUUGGAACAGUUUUCCUUCGUUUGCCGCUAGGGGCGCUGUUCCAAAUUCCAUACAAAUGAGUUA
Molecule: microRNA precursor, 83 nt
Filed under: Bombyx mori (domestic silkworm)
Lineage: Eukaryota; Metazoa; Arthropoda; Insecta; Lepidoptera; Bombycidae
Description: mir-2807 microRNA precursor family
Rfam family: mir-2807 microRNA precursor family
Source: Rfam by way of RNAcentral